GAGGGGCAGUGUCCCUACCCAGGCUUGGAGGAGGAGCCUCAAGGGGUGUGUGUGGUUGGGGGAGACAGGCGGUGUCACCUGUGCUUAGACCAGGGGCGGUGGGCGGGUACCCUUGAGGUGGCAAGGUCACACUGCUCAUCAGAAGUUUCUCACUAGGGUCUUCUCUGGCCCAGCCUUUGACUGAAGCUGGUCUGGAGACAGGGGCGUUAGAGAAGUGACUCAUAGAUGGCCUAAAUAAGCGGGGCCACUCAAGGACCCAGGACAGGGGGAAGAGGGCCAACCCAUCUGGACCGCAGGCAAACCCCAUGGCCUUUGAGAGAAGAGAGAAGAGGACCCGGUGAAGUAGGCUCCGAGGGCCUCAGCCCAGCAGGAGCGCAGGGAGCUGCACCAGGAACUCACAGAGGAUCAGGGAGAAUUCUGAGAACAUGCUACUGUGGUGCUGCCUAGAGAGGAAGGAUAAAUGAUGACAAGUACAUCUCUGAGUAACGUCUCAUCAGUGGAAUGUGGUUGAUGAAGUGAGGUCUUCAAUUUUCUCAUCUACUGUGUGGUCAUGUUAUUUUCCUCAUCUGAGGCUUAAAAACUCACCUGCAUGCAGCACAUGACAGCUUAAAAUCUCUUGUGAACAAAACAGUAACAAAGACACCCACCAGCGUUGAGCAUCCCGUGUUGAUGACAGCGACCACCAGGGGUCAACGUCCUCUUCACAAUCCUGUGUCAGAGCAUCACUUGACUGAUUUCAUUAGCAACUUCCCAGGAGAAUCAGCUUACAAAAUACUUGUCCCAUUUUCCAUGCAGAUGUAACCCAUCUAUUUUACUGAAGAAAUGGGAAGAGCUGAAUGCUGAAUACACUGAAUGUCUGCAGGUUGUGCAAGUUUGUGACUUUAUCACUUUCUAAUUUCUGAUCUGUGUGGACCACUCUACAGAUUUUUCUCACUGGUGUGAUCAGCCUUCUGGAUGUCAAAUAUAAUAGACUUUCAAUAAUAUAAAAGUCAACACAAGCUCCUCAUGGUUUCAGUGCUCAGUGAUGACUCUAAACUUACACAAUGUGUUUCUUUAUUAGUUUUGUUUUCUGGUAUCUCUACUCGGCAUCUUCACCACACCCAUUUUAUGUUUCUUAUACAGGCUUUCUUCUAUGAAAUGCUAUGUCAUGAAUAUGCAAAUAACCUGAGAUCCACUGAGGUAAAUUUGGAUGUCUGUGCCCUGAGAGCAUCACCCAACAACCACAUCCCUCCUCUAUAGAAGCCCCUGAGAACACAGCUCCUCACCAUGGACUGUACCUGGGGGAUCCACUUCUUGGUGGCAGCUGCCACAGGUGUCCAUUCCCAGGUUCAGCUGUUGCAGCCUGGGGCUGAGGUGAAGAAGCCUGGGUCCUCAGUGAAGGUCUCCUGCCAGGCUUCCAGAUACACCUUCACCAAAUACUUUACACGGUGGGUGUGACAAAGCCCUGGACAAGGGCAUAGUGGAUGGGAUGAAUCAACCCUUACAAUGAUAACACACACUAUGCACAGACGUUCUGGGGCAGAGUCACCAUUACCAGUGACAGGUCCAUGAGCACAGCCUACAUGGAGCUGAGCAACCUGAGAUCUGAAGACAUGGUCAUGUAUUACUGUGUGAGAGACACAGUGCAAAAACCCACAUCCUGAGAGUGUCAGAAACCCCAGGAAGGAGACACCUGUGCUGACACAGAGGAGAUGACAAAGAUUAUUAGAUUAAAGAUUUGCUUAGAAAAUGACAUUAAGUCAUUAAAGAAAAGGAACAAUAUUAAUGUGUAUUUGAGAAAUUUUAAUUAUUUGAGAGAUUUUUCAUACAACAUUUAUUCUGUAAACAAAUUUCAAUGAUUAGAGAAUUAAUCAAAUUAAUGAAACUAAUAUAGAACUUCCUCUGAAGGUAUCUCUGUAAACAUUAAUUUCUUAAUCAGUGCUGUAAGUAUUUUGGAAUACAGACACAAAAUCACAUUUUAAGUCUGCAUUUAUAUCUAUUAAAAAUGCCAAAAAAAUCUCCUUUUGUGCGUGUAGCAUUUUGAAUUCCCACCAUCAAUGCAUGAUAGUUCUUGGUUUUCCACAUUCAUAUUGCCAUGUAUCCUUAUGAGAGUUGUGUGUUUUAACCAAUCUAGUAGGUGAGUAAUGGGAUCUAAUUUUUAUUUAAAUGCACAUGUCCCUCAAAAAGUUCAUAUUUAACAAUUUUCCAAUAACUUUUGUUGAGAUGCCU
Molecule: long non-coding RNA, 2208 nt
Filed under: Homo sapiens (human)
Lineage: Eukaryota; Metazoa; Chordata; Mammalia; Primates; Hominidae
Description: HSALNT0385474
Source: RNAcentral